CCUGGUGGCAAUAGCGGAGGGGACACACCUUUUCCCAUUCCGAACAGAGUAGUUAAGCCCUCCAGCGCCGAUGGUACUGCUUGGGAGACCUUGUGGGAGAGUAGGACGUUGCCAGGA
Molecule: ribosomal RNA, 117 nt
Filed under: bacterium
Lineage: Bacteria
Source: RNAcentral